AGGGCAAGUCUGGUGCCAGCAGCCGCGGUAAUUUCAGCUCCAAUAGCGUAUAUUAAAGUUGUUGCAGUUAAAAAGCUCGUAGUUGAAUUUCGGGGUUAGUAGGUUGGUCAUGCCACUGGUAUGUACUGAUCUUACUGAUUCCUCCUUCCUGAUGAACCGUAAUGCCAUUAAUUUGGUGUUGCGGGGAGACUGGACUGUUACUUUGAAAAAAUUAGAGUGUUUAAAGCAGGCUAACGCUUGAAUACAUUAGCAUGGAAUAAUGAAAUAGGACGUUCGAUCCUAUUUUGUUGGUUUCUAGGAUUGACGUAAUGAUUAAUAGGGAUAGUUGGGGGCAUUAGUAUUCAAUUGUCAGAGGUGAAAUUCUUGGAUUUAUUGAAGACUAACUACUGCGAAAGCAUUUGCCAAGGAUGUUUUCAUUAAUCAAGAACGAAAGUUGGGGGAUCGAAGACGAUCAGAUACCGUCGUAGUCUUAACCAUAAACUAUGCCGACUAGGGAUCGGAUGAUGUUAAUUUUUUAAUGACUCAUUCGGCGCCUUACGGGAA
Molecule: ribosomal RNA, 543 nt
Filed under: uncultured Glomeromycotina
Lineage: Eukaryota; Fungi; Glomeromycota
Description: SSU rRNA
Rfam family: Eukaryotic small subunit ribosomal RNA
Source: RNAcentral